Molecule: ribosomal RNA, 264 nt
Filed under: uncultured bacterium
Lineage: Bacteria
Description: partial small subunit ribosomal RNA
Rfam family: Bacterial small subunit ribosomal RNA
Source: RNAcentral
AGAAUCAACGCUGGCGGCGUGCCUAACACAUGCAAGUCGAACGAGAAAGGGGAGCAAUCCCUGAGUAAAGUGGCGACCGGGUGAGUAACACGUGACUAACCUACCCUCGAGUGUGGAAUAACAUCGGGAAACCGAUGCUAAUACCGCAUAACAUCGGCGCUUUUAAGAGAUGCCGAUCAAAGGAGCAAUCCGCUUGGAGGGAGGGGGUCGCGGCUGAUUAGCUAGGUUGGCGGGGUAACGGCCCACCAAGGCGAAGAUCGGGUA